Molecule: ribosomal RNA, 253 nt
Filed under: uncultured bacterium
Lineage: Bacteria
Description: partial 16S ribosomal RNA
Rfam family: Bacterial small subunit ribosomal RNA
Source: RNAcentral
UACGGGGGGGGCAAGCGUUGUUCGGAAUUACUGGGCGUAAAGGGUUCGUAGGUGGCUUGUUAAGUCAGACGUGAAAUCCCUCGGCUCAACCGGGGAACUGCGUCUGAGACUGAUGAGCUCGAGUGCAGGAGAGGAACGCGGAAUUCCAGGUGUAGCGGUGAAAUGCGUAGAUAUCGGAAGGAACAUCAGUGGCGAAAGCGGCUUCCUGGUCCAGCACCGACGUUCAGGCACGAAAGCGUGGGGAGCAAACAGG